RNAcentral lists this ribosomal RNA (253 nucleotides) under uncultured bacterium. RNAcentral's name for it is "partial 16S ribosomal RNA". It matches the Rfam family "Bacterial small subunit ribosomal RNA", at positions 524 to 776 of the family's 1533-position model. The record is from RNAcentral.
UACAGAGGCCUCGAGCGUUAGGCGGAAUCACUGGGCUUAAAGCGUGUGUAGGCGGAUCGGUAAGUACCUUGUGAAAUCCCACGGCUUAACUGUGGAACUGCUGGGUAUACUGCCAGUCUUGAGCCACUCAGGGGCUACCGGAACAAAUGGUGGAGCGGUGAAAUGCGCAGAUAUCAGGAGGAACACCGAUGGCGAAGGCAGCUCGCUGGGACGGUACUGACGCUGAGGCGCGAAAGCGUGGGGAGCAAACAGG